UACUGGAGUUGAUUAUGAACUUUUGUGUUGGUGUAGAAUACAUGAACUUUCGUGCUACAUGCAAACGUUGUCAUCUAGCAGCUCCUCAAAUACAAUGGCGCCACCAAACAGAAUUAGGGAGAUUGCAGAAUUAUUCACUAGCUUCACCUUGGCUGAUGGUUGUAGACCAAAUUCGAGGUUUGGUUGGUUGUUGUUCAAAACCAGUGAUUGUUGCCCAGUGUUUUUUAACCCCUUCAUAAAUGAUCUCCGCAAACUUCCAGACACGAACUAUAUGGUAGAGAACUUUUGGUUCUCAGCUCCGCCUACUUCCCCUGAUUGUAUGGUUGUUGGAUUUUAUCCUACGAGAUUUGGGAUCCAUUAUGUAUCUAGAGAACCAACCUGGGAUUGGUAUGAGGUGAAACCAUAUCAACAAACGUCCCCUGUUUGUUUUCCAACAUUUCAUGAUGGACAUUUUUAUUUACUUGUAUGAGACGGGGGGACUAAAGCUUUUUAAACAUUGGGGUGAAGAUGAUAUCUCUUUUGAAGUUUUUGUAUCCGAAGCCCCAAGACAUUGUAGCGGAUCUCCAGCACAAUAUUUUUUGGUGAAAUGUGUCCAACAUCUUCUACUCGUUAUGGGCAGGUUUGGAGAACCCAUUGAGGUGUUCAUGUUGAAUGGUUCUAAUAGAGAAUGGGAUAAAGUAAACGGUGUAGGAAAGCACUUGAUUUAUAUUUGUGAUACAACAUGUUUGUGUAUUGAAGCCAAAACACCAGAAAUGGCGAACAAGGUCUACCUUGCACAAUUGAGUUCUACAAACAAAAAGGUAGUGUUUUAUUCACUCAAAACAAGCACAUAUCACACGUUCGAUGGUAAAAGCGUCCAAGAAAAUUUAGGGGAUGUUUUCUUGACUACACAUCUUUCUGCUCAUACUUGGAUUGAACCAAGUUGGUUGGAUUCACUUGUUGAAGAGCCCAUAAGUCUAGACCAGUGGACUAAGCUAGCCGACUUCAUUCUUCAUUGUUAUUUUUAUGUUUAAACACGUUGCUUCUUUCUAAUCUUUCACUUUUGGAUUAAUUAUAUAUAUCUGUUCUGUAUCCUUAAGAAAGGAAGAUUUUAAGCAGCA
Erigeron canadensis is the source of this 1100-nucleotide long non-coding RNA. RefSeq lists it as uncharacterized. NCBI's taxonomy places the organism in Eukaryota, Viridiplantae, Streptophyta, Magnoliopsida, Asterales, Asteraceae. The transcript has 2 exons. The record is from RefSeq and is a predicted model, not a curated record.